This 253-nucleotide ribosomal RNA is filed under the name uncultured bacterium. RNAcentral's name for it is "partial 16S ribosomal RNA". It matches the Rfam family "Bacterial small subunit ribosomal RNA", at positions 79 to 334 of the family's 1533-position model. The record is from RNAcentral.
CUUUCUUUGCUGGCGACCGGCGCACGGGUGAGUAACACGUAUCCAACCUGCCCUUUACUCGGGGAUAGCCUUUCGAAAGAAAGAUUAAUACCCGAUAGUAUAAUGAUUCCGCAUGGUUUCAUUAUUAAAGGAUCCGGUAAAGGAUGGGGAUGCGUUCCAUUAGGUUGUUGGUGAGGUAACGGCUCACCAAGCCUUCGAUGGAUAGGGGUUCUGAGAGGAAGGUCCCCCACAUUGGAACUGAGACACGGUCCAA